RNAcentral lists this unclassified non-coding RNA (272 nucleotides) under plant metagenome. RNAcentral describes it as "partial contains small subunit ribosomal RNA, internal transcribed spacer 1, and 5.8S ribosomal RNA". The record is from RNAcentral.
UUUCCGUAGGUGAACCUACGGAAGGAUCAUUAAUGAGUUGUCAUGGGGUUCGAUGCUGGCAGCCAGUUUUUGGAUGCAUGUGCUUGCCCUAACAAUCAUCUUCUUCCAAACACCUGUGCACAUUUUUGAGGGAGUCUUGAGUUGGUUGCCGCUCUUGGGUGAUUUUCUCACAUUCCCUUAAAUCAUUAUACGCUAUUAACAAUGUUGAACGUGCUCUGUGCCGCAAGGCCAUUAAUAUAAUACAACUUUUAACAACGGAUCUCUUGGCUCUC